UACGAAGGGUGCAAGCGUUACUCGGAAUUACUGGGCGUAAAGCGUGCGUAGGUGUUUGUUAAGUCUGUUGUGAAAGCCCCGGGCUCAACCUGGGAAUGGCAAUGGAUACUGGCAGGCUAGAGUGCGGUAGAGGGUAGUGGAAUUCCCGGUGUAGCGGUGAAAUGCGUAGAGAUCGGGAGGAACACCAGUGGCGAAGGCGGCUACCUGGACCAGCACUGACACUGAGGCACGAAGGCCAGGGGAGCAAACGGG
Molecule: ribosomal RNA, 252 nt
Filed under: uncultured bacterium
Lineage: Bacteria
Description: partial 16S ribosomal RNA
Rfam family: Bacterial small subunit ribosomal RNA
Source: RNAcentral